GCAUAUAGCCCAUAUUUGGCGAGCUCAGAGAGUCAGAGACUGAUAGAACUUCAAUGGCUCGGUUUAAUCAUUCAUCAGAUCAUAGAUACGUCUCAAAUCUAUUUAGUCGUCGAUCAAACAUAAAUGAUAAAUUUGAAACUAAACGGAAUACUUGAAGGAUAGAAAGUGCAUAAACGUUCGUAUUAAUUUUUAACAAUACUUUGAAUACCAUAAAAAGCCAAAAAAAAAAGAUGAAUUUGAGAAGGUGAAAAAAAUGAGUCUUCAUGAUCUAUUGUAAAGAUGGCUAAAGUUUAAAGACGAGCUGCGGUUCCAAACUUUUCAGUUGACGGUGUCGUCUUUUGGAUAAAAUUCAGCCACCACGUACCUCCGUGAAUUCUGCGAAAGUCCAUGAAUAAAUGAUAUGCAUCAAUUCACAAUUCACAAUCAACACUUGUGGCUCGUUCGUCUUGGUAAAAAUAUUUGCCAAGUACGAAAAUUGACAGAACUUAACUAACAAAAGCCUUUCUCGGGAAAUCGUGCGCGUCAUAAUAUUGUCAUCCGCGACGCGUGUGAGACUUCGUACAAUAUGACGUAUUAGUGAAUCGACGUUAACAAUGAGAGUGCUGGAAAUAAAUUUCUGAACGUAUACACAUAUUGCAUCUUUCAAAUAUUCACAGACUCGCCUAUCCUAUAUAUUCCCCCGUGACAGAAAAACGUAUAUAUCUACACCGUGUCAGCAAUCUAUAUAUAUAUAUAUAUAUAUUUUAUAUGGUGCCUAGAUAAAAUACAGACUUGGAAUUGCAAAUUGUGAUAAUUAUGGCGUUUGAUUGAAACUAUUCAAAAAAAAAAAAGACGUCUGUUAA
Long non-coding RNA from Aphis gossypii (cotton aphid), 842 nucleotides. RefSeq lists it as uncharacterized. The record is from RefSeq and is a predicted model, not a curated record. Lineage: Eukaryota; Metazoa; Arthropoda; Insecta; Hemiptera; Aphididae. The transcript is spliced from 4 exons.